Molecule: ribosomal RNA, 216 nt
Filed under: Glomeromycotina sp.
Lineage: Eukaryota; Fungi; Glomeromycota
Description: partial small subunit ribosomal RNA
Rfam family: Eukaryotic small subunit ribosomal RNA (bases 40-216)
Source: RNAcentral
GGGUCAGUAAGUUGGUCGUGCCACCGGUACGUACUGGUCUCACUGAUUCCUCCUUCCUGAAGAACCGUAAUGCCAUUAAUUUGGUGUUGCGGGGAAACAGGACUGUUACUUUGAAAAAAUUAGAGUGUUUAAAGCAAGCUAAUGCUUGAAUACAUUAGCAUGGAAUAAUGAAAUAGGACGAUCGAUCCUAUUUUGUUGGUUUCUAGGAUUGACGUA